UGAAAGCCUAUUUUUUAUUCAAAUUCAAACAGCGCAUGUCUCUCUCCUCUCCUUUUCUUAUCUUCCUCUCGUUUGGACCAUUCUAUUGUCAAAUCAAAAUCUCAUAUUUCUAGCAAUGGCGACGGCUCAUUUACGUUUCAGCCAACGCAUGCCUCUCCAUCCAUUGAAUAACAAUAACACUGCCACUGUUACUGUUACUGCCACUGACUCUGUGCUUGUUUCGAAUCCCAAGCAACAGUACCGGAUUCUCCAUUCCGACGAACGGAACCUACUGAACCAUCAACAUCCGGUUACGGCCACCGCCGCCGAGAAAAUGGAGACGACGGCGUUAGAUUUGAAUUCGUCGUUGGCUGAGGAGCUCAACGCCGUAAGGAUGAAGACGGAGCGUUUGAGAUUGGAUAAAGAGAAGACGGAGAAGAUGUUGAAAGAGAGGGAAGCAUUGCUUCUUUUGCAAAUGAAAGAGAUCGAAGAGCGAGGUCAGAUUCAAAGACACCUCGAAAUUCAAGUUGAUAGGCUCUUCAGAUUGAAGGAGCUCAAAUCUUAUUCCAUGAGGAUAUCUCCAUUAAAAUCACUGAGGGAAAAACAACGAAGUGGUUGGAACAUGAAUGAGGUGCAUUCGCUGCGUUUUGUAUACUCUGCCGAGAGCUUGAAUGUCUGAAAAAGGUGAUGAUGGCGGAUUCACAGAAGUAGAGCACCUUAGCUGCCAAAGAAAUCAUUUGGGCUCUUGGCAGAGUGAGACAAUAUCGGGAAUUAAAAGGGUAUGAAUCCAGAGAUGAAAACCCACUGCAGGCUUCAACCCCAUCCAAUUCUUCUCAAAGAUUUUAAAGAAUAAUGAUUAAGGCUUUUUUUUCCUUUUUAUCUUCUCUUUUCCUUAUCUUUUUGUCAUUUUAAAAGCAAACAUUAUAGUAUAAUAUCUCAUUAUAGUUGUAACUCAUCUUGUUGGAAAGUGGUAAAUUAUACCCAAAA
RNA transcript from Gossypium arboreum, 966 nucleotides. RefSeq lists it as uncharacterized. The record is from RefSeq and is a predicted model, not a curated record. The transcript is spliced from 4 exons. NCBI's taxonomy places the organism in Eukaryota, Viridiplantae, Streptophyta, Magnoliopsida, Malvales, Malvaceae.